GAGUUUGAUCCUGGCUCAGGAUGAACGCUGGCGGCGUGCUUAACACAUGCAAGUCGAACGAAGCACUUUAUUUGAUUUCCUUCGGGACUGAUUAUUUUGUGACUGAGUGGCGGACGGGUGAGUAACGCGUGGGUAACCUGCCUUGUACAGGGGGAUAACAGUUGGAAACGGCUGCUAAUACCGCAUAAGCGCACGGCAUCGCAUGAUGCAGUGUGAAAAACUCCGGUGGUAUAAGAUGGACCCGCGUUGGAUUAGCUAGUUGGUGAGGUAACGGCCCACCAAGGCGACGAUCCAUAGCCGACCUGAGAGGGUGACCGGCCACAUUGGGACUGAGACACGGCCCAGACUCCUACGGGAGGCAGCAGUGGGGAAUAUUGCACAAUGGGCGAAAGCCUGAUGCAGCGACGCCGCGUGAGCGAAGAAGUAUUUCGGUAUGUAAAGCUCUAUCAGCAGGGAAGAUAAUGACAGUACCUGACUAAGAAGCACCGGCUAACUACGUGCCAGCAGCCGCGGUAAUUC
RNAcentral lists this ribosomal RNA (519 nucleotides) under uncultured bacterium. RNAcentral's name for it is "bacterial SSU rRNA". It matches the Rfam family "Bacterial small subunit ribosomal RNA", at positions 9 to 526 of the family's 1533-position model. The record is from RNAcentral.